AUUAAUCUCAUUGGUAGGUUCCAGAGCUUAUAUAUGAUCAAAUAAAAUGAGACUACACUCAAAGUUGAGAGUAAACGUGUCACAACACAUUGCAUGCCAGCCAGACCUUUGAAGGGGCUGAAAAUUCGUGAAAGUUCCUUCAUAAUUUUUGGCGGUCACUGCCCACCAAGGAAUAACAGGGUUUAGCAUAGUGUUUUUGACCUGUGAUUGAAGGACUGAUGCUUAUUUAUUUUGUUUCGUAUUCCUAUCUUCUUUAAUCUCUCAUUUGAACUUUAUCUGAACAACAGAAUAAAUCAGUACAGAAAUGCAGUUGUAAGAUUGAUAGUUCUUCUGUGCAUUAAUUUGUGAAGUCAUAAAUCUGUUCUAAAUUCUAUAUUACUUGGUGAAUUGAGAUAUUUCUUGUGCAUUAAGU
RNAcentral lists this unclassified non-coding RNA (412 nucleotides) under Hevea brasiliensis (rubber tree). Lineage: Eukaryota; Viridiplantae; Streptophyta; Magnoliopsida; Malpighiales; Euphorbiaceae. The record is from RNAcentral.